RNAcentral lists this ribosomal RNA (268 nucleotides) under uncultured bacterium. RNAcentral's name for it is "partial small subunit ribosomal RNA". It matches the Rfam family "Bacterial small subunit ribosomal RNA", at positions 26 to 287 of the family's 1533-position model. The record is from RNAcentral.
AGGACGAACGCUGGCGGCGCGCUUAACACAUGCAAGUCGAGCGAGAACCGGGACUUCGGUCCCGGGGACAGCGGCGAACGGGUGAGUAACACGUGGGUAAUCAACCCUCGGCACCGGGAUAGCCCGAGGAAACUCGGAUUAAUACCGGAUAGCCCCUCCGACUCUCGAGUCGGUCGGGAAAGGUAGCUUAGGCCUCUGGCCGGGGACGAGCCCGCGGCGGAUUAGCUUGUUGGUGGGGUAAUGGCCUACCAAGGCAACGAUCCGUAGC